Molecule: long non-coding RNA, 4175 nt
Filed under: Sorghum bicolor (sorghum)
Lineage: Eukaryota; Viridiplantae; Streptophyta; Magnoliopsida; Poales; Poaceae
Description: long non-coding RNA (SBIC_LNC001379)
Source: RNAcentral
ACUUCUAUCUCCCUUGCUCCAGCCGCCUCUCGUGCUACUCACUCUACACAGGAAAGCGACGCACCACCAUAGCAUCUAGGGAGAAAAUGCAUGGCCAUGAUGGCUCUCAUGCCAGGGUGCAAGCUUUGCGCGCGGUUGCCUGAACGCAUGCGUGCCAGCUUCCCUAGUGCACGCGACGGCAGCGGCGUGCGUCCAGCGGUGCCGUCCAUUAGGUGCGUGGCUUGCUGCUUCACACGGGGUAGCUGCGAGCGAGCCGAUCUCCGCCGCCCACAAACCUUCCUCCACCUCGUCGAUGACCCGUGUUCAGGACUUGUAAGGGUGGGUGUGAUCUGCUUUGUAGGGCAACUUUUUAGAGUUCUUUUUCAUCUUGAUUUUCUUUUAUCUUGAAUCCUUCCUCUUAUGAUCUUUGCUACCUUGCAAGUUAUUUUGUUGCUUCAUGACAUCUUUAAUUGGUUUAUUAUAUUGUACCUGACUUUUUAUCUUGUGACCCGUGGAGAGUUUGGAUUGGAAAGGCAAUGUUUGAGUCCAUCACGGAGGGAGUCGUGAAAGGGAAAAAGAAGAGGAUCAAAAGAUCCCGACGAAAAUUUAGCUAGAAAAUUUGCCAAGUCCAUCUAGUUGUCCAUGGUGGAUUCGAUUUGGUUAGAUGUCUUUUUCCUUUGAUUUGAUUUGGAUUUGGACUUGAAUUGGAUUGGUUGGCUGUGAGUUCAAGUCUGAUUUUGGAGAGUUUUCUUUCUCAUCUAUGUUGCGUCCAAAGCAAUUUUUUAUUCGAUCUUCACCAUCAAUAUAAAUAGCCAGACCAAAAAAAAUCCAGACCAAGAAAGAGGCUGAAAUUUUGCCUCUUUAUUAUUAGGGAUAGAUAUAAGUAUUGUAUUCUAUUUGGUUUUGAUCUCAAUUUGAUCUGAAUUGUAUUCGAUUUGUUCUAUUGGAUUUCGGAAGGGAGUCAUCGGACGUGGGGCUUUCAGGGGUAGAAAAAACUGUGGUCUUGAUUUUGUAUUGUAUUCUAUUUGGUUUUGAUCUGAUUUGUAUUCGAUUUGUUCUAUUGGAUUUCGAAAGGGAGUCAUUGGACGUGGGGCUUUCGGGGGUAGAAAAAACCUAUACGGACUGUAGAUUGGCAGAAAAAAAAGGCAGACUGAAAUUUUAGCUCUUUAUAGAUAUAUAGAUUAUCUUGUCACGUAAACAAAGGGCUUAGGUGAGGAACAAUUGGGAGUGGCGUGAGUCUCGCCCGUGAAUAGCGGCGUCGCACGGCUGGCUUUCCUAAGUUCCAAAUAGACAGAUGCAUUUGGGCCGUAAUUAACGAGUUAGGCCUUAUUUAGCACUUUCGUUUGUAUUUGACAAAUAUUGUUUAAUAAUGGACUAACUAGGCUCAAAAGAUUCGUCUUGUCAGUUUCGAGUAAACUAUGUAAUUAGUUUUUAUUUAUGUCUAUAUUUAAUAUUCCAUGUAUAUGUCUAAAGAUUUGAUACGAUUGGAAAUCUGAAAAAUGUUAUAAAAAUUUUUGGAACUAAACAAGGCCUUGUUAAGACCAAAAUGCGCCUAGAGUGGGCCUGUCGACCGGAAUUCGCCCGGGCUCAAUUGGAAGUGAACCAGGAAGAUUCUGCGAUUACUUGUUGUUGCCAUCAGAAGAUAAACUGGGGCUGAAAGAUGGGCCGAGCUGGUCUCAGAAGGAAAUAUAAGCCCAGGAUUUCAGGGGUAGCAAGCAACUCGAAUGCACAGGCCGAUAAGGUGAUAAAAGAAAAAGUCUACCUUUUCUUCUCCAACUUUCACGAAAGUCCGCUUUUCGUUCCUCAACUCCGAAACCGGAUAAAUCAUCUCUCUCAACUUUUCAAACCGUGCAUUUUAUAUCCCUGGAGCGGUUUCGAAAGCAGUUUUUCUACAGUGACGGUGGUUUUUCUUUUUUAAGUAUUUUAGCUGAAUCUUUGAAAAAUUAUAGUAAAAAUCACAGAAAAAUCAUAAAAUAAAAAAUCUAAUUUUUUUUGGACUCUACGUAAGUAGAUCUACAUAGUAAACAUAUAACAUGGUAUGCUUUAGUACAAAAUUUUUGCUAUAAAGGUUUUGUCCUUUUCUUUUUUUAUUUAUUUGUCUGAAUCUUUUGAAAAAUCAUAGAGAAAUAAUAAAAUAGAAAAUCUAAUUUUAUUAGACUCUACAUGAGUAUAUAUACAGAAUGAACAUAUAAUAUAUGUAUGUUUAGUCCGACAAAAUAAUUUUAGAAGCUGCAACUAUGAAUUAUUUCAAUUAAUUACACAGAAGCAUAGAUCUAAAGCUAUAACAAAAAAUUAUACUAAAACAUACCAUAUUAUAUAUUUACUGUGUAGAUAUGCUCAUGUGGAGUCUAAAAAAAUUAUAAUAUUUUAUAAUUUUUCUAUAAUUUACUAUGUUUUUCAAAUAUUUAUCCAAAAUAAAUUUUAAAAAAAAAGACAAAACCUUUAUUGCAAAAACUUUAUACUAAAGCAUACCAUAUUAUAUGUUCAUUGUGUAGAUCUACUUAUGUAAGUCCAAUAAAAUUGGAUUUUCUAUUUUAUGAUUUUCCUGUGAUUUACCAUGAUUUUUCAAAGAUUCAAUCAAAAUAAUUUAAAAAGAAAAAGACAAAACCAUAGCAAAACUACUAUUCACUGACAGACGAUCAUUUCCUCCGGACAUUCACCAGCUUGUGAUUUCAAACUUUCUCUGCUGGACGACUAGUGUAAGAAUUAGCCCGCGGUGCAUGCGUCCCAGCGUUGUUUGACACCGGGUCGAUCAGUGAGUUUGUUAGUGCACAUGGCAGAAAGAACAGUGUGACGACGGGCUGCCUUUUCUCUCUCGUGGUGAGCAGGUCUUUUGCAACAAUGAUACUGGGGAAACCAGCAUUUGACAUUUUUCCUCUCUGACUUAGUUUCACCAUUUUGCUAUAGGUUCUGCAUCUAGAUUCGCUUGACACGCGAAACCCCGAUGGAACACCACGGAUUUCUGCACGGAACGGACACGAAGCUUGUCGACAAUCCUUGAGAUGGACACGAAGAAAAAUGGCUCGUUCGGAAAAUGCUUGGUGAGUUUUUCUGUAUCACUACUCCUCAGCAAUGGCUGUUUUUUUUUUGUAUGUAUGUGUGUAGAAUGGCUGUGAUUUUUCUAUCUGUUAUGAAUGCAUUGUCCUCCUCUCUGUUCGGUUCAAAUAUUACAACCAAAUGAAAAAAAAGAGCCGCUGAUAGUCGUUUCGCAAUCCUCGGAGGUGGCCCAAAAUAGUAAGGUUUAUGUCCGCAAAUGUUUGUGCUGGGUGCAGCCCACAGGUACAAGUGUCUUCUUUGUAGCUACGUGAAGGGUGUCCCCAACGGUGAUCGGACGGGUCUAAUUGACUUUCUCUUAUUGUUUGAUUUGUGAUGAAUGAUUGUCAACGUGAUCUACGACCUAAGUUGAGUUGGUGACUAACCAUUGGCGUGACUUAGGUCGUGCCACAUGUCUCUUGACUUGUGGUGUGCAGGUAUGGAGCUUGGAGGCGGUGGUCGACGGCGAGGAAAAAGUCAAGUAGAGACGUACCAUGCCGAUAGAUAUGGAGCGGUGAAGGGCGGACACGAAGCUUGGACUGACGGACCAGGAGGCCGAGUGACUAUCCGCAGUGGCUGAUAUCUGGGACAUCGGCAAGUGCAAGUGUACAUGGGAGUGACCGUGUUGACCAAGUCAAGACAGCGGACGUGCGAGUCGAGCAAGGAUCAGGAGGACUUAGCGGGCCGACCGAUCAAGGACAGAGGUGACAUGUGUCAAGUGGCGGGGGAAGUGUAUGGAGUACCCUACUCGCGGCGGGUUUCGCGGGUUUGGGCCUCAAAACCCGGGCGGAGGUUCCGAGAAAGGGACGACACAUAACGGCAUCAAGGAGUUAGCGUCAAGACUAAGCUACCUCAUGAAGAGCGCGGUAGCCAUCGGAUCUAGAUUAUGUCGAGUUGGACUAGAAUAUCCCUGUGGCUAACUAGUUCGUUCAUAAAUAUCCAGAGACAAAUAAGGAAUAUAUAAUAGUCUGAUAAAUAGGGAGGAGGAGUCCCCCAUUCCCUUCACCUCUCUUCCAUUCUCUUUCCUACUUGUGGCUAGGGUUUCAUUUUUCCUGUCAUUAAAGAGGUUAAAAACAAAAGAAAUUUGUGGCUGUAUGUUGAUGUGAUUUUGGUUGGGAAAGGAGAGACCUAAGUCCUCCUUGUGGUUCCUAUUUUGAAGUUGU